This 174-nucleotide small nuclear RNA is filed under the name Chelydra serpentina (North American snapping turtle). RNAcentral's name for it is "U1 spliceosomal RNA (ENSCSRG00000013927.1)". It matches the Rfam family "U1 spliceosomal RNA", at positions 8 to 155 of the family's 166-position model. From Rfam's summary of the family: U1 is a small nuclear RNA (snRNA) component of the spliceosome (involved in pre-mRNA splicing). Its 5' end forms complementary base pairs with the 5' splice junction, thus defining the 5' donor site of an intron. Lineage: Eukaryota; Metazoa; Chordata; Testudines; Chelydridae. The record is from Rfam by way of RNAcentral.
GGCCUCCCCUGGCAGGGGAGAUACCAUGAUCACGAAGGUGGUUUUCCCAGGGUGAGGCUCAUCCAUUGCACUGCGGGUGUGCUGACCCCUGCGAUUUCCCCAAAUGCGGGAAACUCAACUGCAUAAUUUGUGGUAGUGGGGGACUGCAUAAUUUGGGGGGAGGGAUAGCUCAGU